This is a ribosomal RNA of Aphidius gifuensis, 122 nucleotides long. NCBI's taxonomy places the organism in Eukaryota, Metazoa, Arthropoda, Insecta, Hymenoptera, Braconidae. The record is from RefSeq and is a predicted model, not a curated record.
GAUAACGACCAUAUCACGAUGAAACUACCAGUUCUCGUCUGAUCACUGAAGUCAAGCAUCGUUGAGCGUGGUUAGUACUUGGAUGGGUGGUGACCGCUUGGGAACACCACGUGUCGUUAUCU